CUGGCGGCGCACAUAAGACAUGCAAGUCGAACGAACUUAAUCUUUAGUUACUAUUAGAAGCGGUUAGUGGCGGACUGGUGAGUAACGCGUAAGCAAUCUGCCUAUCAGAGGGGGAACAACAGUGAGAAAUCACUGCUAAUACCGCAUAUGCUGUGAGUACGGCAUCGUACAAACAGGAAAGGAGCAAUCCGCUGAUAGAUGAGCUUGCGUCUGAUUAACUAGUUGGUGGGGUAACGGCCUACCAAGGUGAUGAUCAGUAGCCGGACUGAGAGGUUAAACGGCCACAUUGGGACUGAGAUACGGCCCAGACUCCUACGGGAGGCAGCAGUCGGGAAUAUUGCGCAAUGGAGGAAACUCUGACGCAAGUGACGCCGCGUGCAGGAUGAAGGUUUUCGGAUUGUAAACUGCUUUAGAUAGGGAAGAAACAAAUGACGGUACCUAUAGAAUAAGCUCCGGCUAACUACGUGCCAGCAGCCGC
This 478-nucleotide ribosomal RNA is filed under the name uncultured bacterium. RNAcentral describes it as "bacterial SSU rRNA". It matches the Rfam family "Bacterial small subunit ribosomal RNA", at positions 36 to 518 of the family's 1533-position model. The record is from RNAcentral.